GAGGGUGACAGCUCGGGGGCAGAGCGCAUGCUUAGCAUGCUUAAGGUCCUGGGUUCAAUUCCCAGCACCUCCA
Molecule: transfer RNA, 73 nt
Filed under: Camelus bactrianus (Bactrian camel)
Lineage: Eukaryota; Metazoa; Chordata; Mammalia; Artiodactyla; Camelidae
Also listed under: 2 other names
Rfam family: tRNA
About the family: Transfer RNA (tRNA) molecules are approximately 80 nucleotides in length. Their secondary structure includes four short double-helical elements and three loops (D, anti-codon, and T loops).
Source: Rfam by way of RNAcentral